GAUGAACGCUAGCGGCAGGCUUAAUACAUGCAAGUCAAGGGGCCAGCAAUGGUACCGGCGGACGGGUGAGUAACGCGUACACAACGUACCUUUAACUGGGGGAUAGCAUCUGGAAACGGGUGGUAAUACCGCAUGUGGUUGCGGGGAGGCAUCUCCUUGUAACUAAAACUUUGGUGGUUAGAGAUCGGUGUGCGUCUGAUUAGCUAGUUGGUAGGGUAGAGGCCUACCAAGGCGACGAUCAGUAGGGGGCGUGAGAGCGUGAACCCCCCACACGGGUACUGAGACACGGACCCGACUCCUACGGGAGGCAGCAGUAAGGAAUAUUGGUCAAUGGAGGGAACUCUGAACCAGCCAUGCCGCGUGAAGGAAGAAGGCGCUACGCGUUGUAAACUUCUUUUGGGUGGGACGAAAAUAAUCCAUUUAUGGAUAGCUGACGGUACCAUCAGAAUAAGCACCGGCUAACUCCGUGCCAGCAGCCGCGGUAAU
This 486-nucleotide ribosomal RNA is filed under the name uncultured bacterium. Its description in RNAcentral is "bacterial SSU rRNA". It matches the Rfam family "Bacterial small subunit ribosomal RNA", at positions 28 to 524 of the family's 1533-position model. The record is from RNAcentral.